AGCGAACGCUGGCGGCAGGCCUAACACAUGCAAGUCGAGCGGCCGUAGCAAUACGGCAGCGGCAGACGGGAGAGUAACACGUGGGAACGUACCCUUUGGUUCGGAACAACACAGGGAAACUUGUGCUAAUACCGGAUAAGCCCUUACGGGGAAAGAUUUAUCGCCAAAGGAUCGGCCCGCGUCUGAUUAGCUAGUUGGUGGGGUAACGGCCCACCAAGGCGACGAUCAGUAGCUGGUCUGAGAGGAUGAUCAGCCUCACUGGGACUGAGACACGGCCCAGACUCCUACGGGAGGCAGCAGUGGGGAAUAUUGGACAAUGGGCGCAAGCCUGAUCCAGCCAUGCCGCGUGGAUGAUGAAGGCCCUAGGGUUGUAAAGUCCUUUCGGCGGGGAAGAUAAUGACGGUACCCGCAGAAGAAGCCCCGGCUAACUUCGUGCCAGCAG
Molecule: ribosomal RNA, 442 nt
Filed under: uncultured bacterium
Lineage: Bacteria
Description: bacterial SSU rRNA
Rfam family: Bacterial small subunit ribosomal RNA
Source: RNAcentral